Molecule: long non-coding RNA, 203 nt
Filed under: Nicotiana benthamiana
Lineage: Eukaryota; Viridiplantae; Streptophyta; Magnoliopsida; Solanales; Solanaceae
Description: long non-coding RNA (NBEN_LNC003948)
Source: RNAcentral
GGAAUUAAACUCUAGUGUAUUUGGUAUAAUAUUAUUGUAGAAAAACAUAUAUAUCAAGUGUUACUAAAUGUUUCUUAGCAAAGUUUUCACGAAUUCUAUUUCUUGGCAAAGUUUUAAUAUUAAGUUUCUUCUUCAGAUAAAACUCAACGAGCUCUCCAUCUGUUGGUAAAAACCUAUAACCUAUUGGAAUUGAGUCAAAAAAC